AAAAGUAGAGGGUGCUCCAGCGCACGAAGGGGACAAUCUGCAGGAGACGCUGCAGCAAUGAGUCCCACCUGUCACCCCAGUAGUCCCAUUUCCCAGUGGGACACAGCUUGGGAGGGGGAGUAAAUAAGCCACAGAAGGGAAAAGGGUAAAGUUGCUAGCAUUGCAGGAGAGACAGGAAGAAGAAAAACAGACGAAACAAAGCAUGCUGAUGAUUUAAUUUGUGUCAGUUCUUUGGAAAAAGGAAUGGCCGUACAGCACCAAGCACAAUGUACGAUGGGCAGGAACCAUCUCUCUCUCUGUCUCUAUGACAUCAGCACUUAACAAAGAUAUAUUCAUUAUUCAUUGGCUGGCCAGCAAUACAAUUGGUUGCAUGGCAAUAGUUCAAAGCAGCAGACUGCCCUAAAUACGUGUGUGUGCGUGUAUAUAGAUAUAUAUCCCCAGUAGAAAAUUCAAACAGCCAAACCAAAAGGGUUCUCCUGAGUCUAAGUGAACUGAAUGGUCUGUUGGUCCUAAAGGGGAUUUAAUGGCAUCAAGACAGUCCCUUGGCAUAGGUCUGACCCCUGCUGCAACAACCAAUGAGAGAUCCGGCUCUGGCUGAUACCUACAAGAAAGAAAGAGAGAGAGAACUUAAAUUUUGAAUGGAUUCAGUGCUAGUGAAAGAGUGAAGUGGAAUGCAAGCUCAGUGUCAACCUUCCAUCCGUAACAGCGAAGGAGAAAUUAAUGAGGAGAAAACCCCAAACUAACCAGUUUCACAAGUAAAGAAUCUGGUCUCAAAACCCACUAGGAUGAGAAUCGCUCAAGAUCACCACAAGCUGUUCCAAGAACUUAUUUAAUUCAGUGUUGAAAUGCCUGAAGCAGAGGACUAACAGAGGGAGCAAAAGAACUGUCAAGGCCCAGGGUGCAUUCUCAAAAAAGCUGUUCAGCCAUUAAAAAGGAUUAACAACAUACAAACUCUAUUGGGAAUUCAAAACAGCAAGGAGUCCUGUGGCACCUUAGAGACUAACAAAAAUAUAGAGAGUAUCAUGCGCUUUCAUGGGCACAACACACUUCCUCAGAUGAGUUGGAGUGGAAAAAAAGAGAAUUCCAGUUCGAGGAGGUCUCACAAUAACAAUAUAUUGCUAAAUACCACCUGUGCCAACAUCUGUUUUAGUCAUAACGCACAACAUGAAGUUUGCUUUUCUCCUACCUCUCCCAUCUUGAGAUUUCAUGAUCACAUUUAACUCACUGGGAAUAGCCCCCUGGAGUUUUACACUUUUUCUAAGAAGGGAGUUUUCCCUAACAUGUAUUUUUGAUAAACUUAAAAAACAACACUUUAGAGACUAACAAAACAUGUAGAUGGUAUCAUGAGCUUUCGUGGGCACAGCCCACUUCUUCAGAUGUAUCGGCUCCCCCAUGAAGUUCAUGUAUUUUUGAGUUAAACAAAGAUGCUAAUAACAUUUCCGAAUAAUUCAAAUAUCUCAGGGGAGCCAAACUGGUCAACUCCAAAAAUCAUAGUUACAUUCCUAACUAGCCUGCAUGAUAUGUACUUGUGAAGCUACUAAAGUUUCACUUGCCCUGCAGGAAAAAAGUGUUGGGUUUUGUUUUUUUUAAACAGGAGCUCAUCUGUGUUCAGGAGAAAUCCUCCUGCAAGGAGGUGGAAGAGAAUUUGAAGGUGCCAUGAGCGUAUCCAGAUAGGCUUGCUGCAGGCAAGAUGGUGUGCUCUCAUUGUAUACCCGUUUUGUAUUCCCAACCAACCUCUUCCAGGGACUGCCUCCACCCCAGAGAUCAAAAUUGGUGCAAACAGCUGAGGCAAUCCCACUUAGCCAUCUCCAGCGUUGAAAUCAUGUCAACUAGAAGCAUGUGCUCAGUAAAGGAACCUGGUUCUGCAACCCAUGUCCCCCGGUGCUCCAUCACUGAGUGUACCAGGCUACUUUUUGAGCACAGUGGAUUCGGCCUUAAGUGCUUAGCCCCUGAGAUGUAGUUUCUCAGCAGAUGAGUUUUGUCUGUUAAUGGGUGAGAGUAGCAUUCGUUUAUUACCUGGCUUCUAGGCACUGUGGCCUGCUUUUAAUUGCAUAAUAAAAAAUAUUGUCUGGCUAGCUCUUUGGUAACAAAGUAGGAUAUAAAAGCAAAGGGCUGGGUUCUACAGUCACUGACCCAGAACAUAUUUUUGUAAUAAUGCAUUGGGAGCAGCCGUGCUUUGCCCGAAAGGCUGCAUUGGCAACUUUUGACACUUGUUUUGUACAAAAUGAUGCAGAUUACAACCACCUCAUACACCAGUGCAUCCUAUGCACUAGCGGUACCCCAGACGAGUGGCUGUAGCACUAGAGUGAGCGCGAAGAUGUCAAGGUUCCAUUUCCAACCCCACUCAUUGGGGGCCUUGGUACACCACUCAGCAGUCAAUCUCCUUCUGUAAAACGGAGCUUUGGGCUGGAUCCUGACAUGCGCUGAGUGAAACGGUGCUCUCCUACACAUUCUAUGCACACAGCUGCAGGUUCCAGCACAAUAUUCCUUAGCUUGACUACAGCGUCCCAGGUCCUGCACUGCAGAAUGUUGUGGGUUGUAUCGCGUCCAUAUCAAUACACUAACUCCAGGGAAUCACUCCGGUGGAGAAUCCGCGCCUUGUCUGUCCACUAGGGAUGUAAAAGGCGAACUGGUUACCCAGUAAACCUUACCCGUAUGCUUACCAAAGGGCCAGGCCGACUGAAGCAACCCCCUCGCCGCCUACGAUGGGGCUGGGUUAGCCAGGCUGAAGUAACCCCCUGCCCGCCCAUGGCACAGGAUCAACACUCCACCUGCCUGCCCAUGGCUGGAGCAGCCUCCUGCCUGCAGUGGGCUGGCAGGCAGGACCCUGACUGCAGGGCCCCUGCCUACAGCAACCCCCACUGCAGGACCCCAGCUGCUGUGCACCAGCCCUCAGUUAACCGGUUAAAUAACCACAAGUCUCUGUGGUUUCCCCAACACCCACAUCCAUUCCAUCUGCAGCCCAUACAAAAUGCAGCUGCUAAUAUCGUCCUCCUUGCUCAAUGGUUUGAUCAGUUUUGGAGUUCUCCACUGGUUGCCCUUUUUCUACCACAUUGCUGUCAAACAGCUUGUGAUCACUUUCCUCCCUGAUGCUUCACCUGAUUCUGUCCAAUUAGAUUGGAUGCUAUCUGGGGUAAGUAUUGUAAUUUCCACUCUUAGAAAAAUGCUAGCAAAUUUUGGAUGCUAAUGACAAUUAAAUAAUAUUCUGUAUUUCUGAAAUGCUAAUUAAGGUUACUGGAAAUUAUUUCCUCUGUGAAAUACACAAAUUUGACUUGUCAAUUUUUAUUGUUUGACUCAAUGCUGUGCAUACUCACAAAGCAAGAGAUGGUUCCUGUCUCAAAGGAGCCUAUUUGUAGCCUAACUAGACAAGUAUUCUUAUACUCAUUUUACAAUUGGGACACUGAGGCAGGGAACGUGUGACUUGCCCAACAUAACACACAAAGUCAGUGACAGAGCAAGGAACAGAAUCUAGAUCUUUUUAGUCCCAAUGUAGGUCCUUAUCCACCACUUAUCCUCCUGUUAUUUAUUUCUGAUGACGUCCUAAUAGCAAAAAAGCUAAACAAAUAAUUUAAAAGAUAGAAUCAUAGAAUCAUAGAAUAAUAGGA
Pelodiscus sinensis (Chinese soft-shelled turtle) is the source of this 3605-nucleotide non-coding RNA. Lineage: Eukaryota; Metazoa; Chordata; Testudines; Trionychidae. The record is from RefSeq and is a predicted model, not a curated record.